RNAcentral lists this ribosomal RNA (508 nucleotides) under uncultured bacterium. RNAcentral describes it as "bacterial SSU rRNA". It matches the Rfam family "Bacterial small subunit ribosomal RNA", at positions 8 to 526 of the family's 1533-position model. The record is from RNAcentral.
AGAGUUUGAUCCUGGCUCAGAGUGAACGCUGCCGGCGUGCUUAACACAUGCAAGUCGAACGAGAACGGACUAUAGCUUGCUAUAGUUGUCAGCUAAGUGGCGCACGGGUGAGUAAUGUAUAGGUAAUAUGCCUUUUACUAAGGGAUAACAAUUGGAAACGAUUGCUAAUACCUUAUAUUCCUUUUAAUCAAAAGAUUAGAAGGGAAAGAUUUAUCGGUAAGAGAUUGGCCUGUAUUGUAUCAGUUAGUUGGUGGGGUAAUGGCUUACCAAGACGAUGACACAUAACUGGUUUGAGAGGAUGAUCAGUCACACUGGAACUGAGGCACGGUCCAGACUCCUACGGGAGGCAGCAGUGGGGAAUAUUGCACAAUGGACGGAAGUCUGAUGCAGCAACGCCGCGUGGAGGAUGACACAUUUCGGUGCGUAAACUCCUUUUAUAUGAGUAAGAUAAUGACGGUAUUAUAUGAAUAAGCACCGGCUAACUCCGUGCCAGCAGCCGCGGUAAUAC